UGUUGGCUUGAGCGGCUUGUCUGCACCAACUACUGCUGCCUGCUGGUGGGCUGCAUCAUCUGGUGGUCUGCAGCUGGAUCCGGUGGGCUGUACCAUCUACUGCAGACUUCUCCACCUGCGGCUGCUACUGCUGUUCUGCUGGCUGGUGAUAUCUCUGCCUCGUUCCUAGUCACGGUGAUAUCUGCUCUCAGUUCUUCUGCUAUUCUCUACUGUUGGUCAUUUUCUAGUAGUCUCCAACAUGGCACAGAUCAAUGCAAUUGUCAUCAAUAUCACUUUAGAUGGCCAGAAUUACCCAGAGUGGGGCUUUUGUGUUGAGACUGCAUUGAGGGGUUAUGGUCUAUAUUUUCACUUAACUGAUGAUCCUCCUAUUCAUGUGACUGAUCCUAGUAAUGCUGCUGCCAUCCAAACUUGGGAAAUAAAUGAUGGGAAAGACAUGGCUGCUAUGGUUAAUAGUGUUAAGAAAUCUAUGAUUAUGAGUCUUAGCAAGUUUAAAACAGCCAAGGCUAUUUGGUCCCAUUUGAAGCAACGCUAUGUUCAGGAUAGUGUUGCCCUUUUGCAUUCUCUCAUGCAGCAAACACAUGCACUUGAGCAGAAUAACAUGACCAUCGAUGAGUAUUACUCCGCUUUUGAUUGUCUUGUGGGCUCUCUAACUUCUAUGGUAGGUGAUUGUACAGCAGCUAACUGUCCAGCACACAAAUUUAUUGAGAAGUUUUUUAUAUAUCGUUUUGUCAUGGGAGUCAGGGAAGAAUUUGAUUCUAUUCGUAAACGGCUGCUUCAUGAUUCAUCUGAUUUGACCAUGACUCGUGCUCUGUGUGAUCUUCUUGCUGAGGAAACUCGCCUUCGAUCUAUGUCUGCUUCUCCAUUGUGAGUGUCUCACAAUGUAUUGGCAGCUUCUCAGAGGUUCAGUGCACCACCUAAAGGUACAUCUUCAGAAAAAUGUAAGCAUUGUGGCAGGACCAAUCAUAGUUCAGAGAACUGUUUCUCUCAGCAUCCAGAGAAAUUGGCUGAUUUUCAUGCACGUCGUGCUGCUCAUGCGGCCAGAGGUCGUGGUACUGGUUCUACUUCUAGAGGCUCAGUGUCUGUUGCUGCUGCUUCACCCAUCAGUGCUCCUCAAGUCUUCUUGGGUUCGGGCUUCUUUUCAUGUGACCUCUGACCAGUCCCAGCUUGUUGCUAGCAAGCCAGUUGCUGAUGGUGCUUCUAUUCAGAAAACAGAUGAUCGCCGAACCGGGGUGGUGAUUGGGACUGGCCAUCGCCAUAGAGGUUCCUCUUCUCUCUAUGUUCUCGACGCCCUGCAUCUUCCUCAGUCAUCUGCUCAUGUGUCAUCCGCUGCUUCGUCAUCCACCUCGUCCUUCGCCAAGUGGCAUCAUCGUCUUGGUCAUCUUUGUGAAUCUCGGUUGUCUCAAUUAAUAAAUAAAGGAUAUUUAGGUCAUACAUCUCUCAAGUCUAUUUUUCAUUGUAAGGGUUGCAAGCUUGGAAAAAAAUACAACUCCCAUAUUCAUCUAGUGUUUCUCAUUCUGCUAGACCUUUUGAUCUUGUUCAUUCAGAUGUAUGGGGUCUUGCACCUUUUGCUACAAAGGGCGGUCACAAAUAUUAUGUCAUUUUUAUUGAUGAUCAUUCUCGCUAUACUUGGAUUUAUUUUAUGAAAUAUCGUUCUCAACUUUGUUCCAUUCACCAGUCUUUUGUUCACAUGGUUCACACACAAUUUCCUACUCCUAUUAGAGUUUUUCAUUCCGACUCUGGGGGUGAGUAUAUAUCCGAUAUUUUUCGCCAGUUUUUGUCUUCUGAGGGUACUCUUGCUCAGCUUUCUUGUCCUGGCGCUCAUGCUUAAAAUGGUGUUGCUGAACGCAAACAUCAUCAUAUUAUGGAGAAACCUUGCACACUUCUGAUUUCAUCUUUUGUUCCUUCUCAUUUAUAGGGUCAAGCUAUCUCUACUGCUGUAUAUCUCAUAAAUAGUUAACCCUCAUCCAAGCUAUUUGACAAAUAUCCUGGUGAGGUACUUUUUGGUACCCCUCCUAGCUGUGAUCAUCUCCGGUUUUUGGAUGUAAAUGCUAUGUUUUGCUUGCUCCUCGUGAGCGUACUAAGUUGACUGCGCAAUCUACUGAGUGAGUUUUUCUGGGUUAUAGUCCUAAGCAUAAAGGUUAUCGCUGUUAUGAUCCUUCUUCUCGUCGCAUACGUAUCUCUCAUGAUGUGACCUUUGUUGAGGAUUGUCCUUUUCUUUUAUAACCCCUCUACACAACCUUCAUCUUCACCCACAGAGUCCACAUCUUUUAUGUGUCUUCCUUCUAUUUCCAUUACGCCACCUUCACUUCCACCACCUGCACAUGUGCUGCCUACACCUCCUCCAUCACCCUCAUAUGCGCCACCUACACCUCCACCACCUGCACAUGCACCGCCUCCACCACCUCCUCCUCAUCCUUUUUCAAAACCACCUAUCACACGUGUUUUCAGUGUCAUCCGAAAACCCCCACCAAACUUCCUUCUAGUUCAACCACCUCGGCCAGUCCUGAUGUGCCCGCUGUUGAUGGUUCUAAUAAUAAUAUUGCUGAGUCACAUAUUAUUUCUGAUGAGACAUAGGCUGCUCCAAGAUAUAAUCUACAAGAUCACAGUACUAUUCAUCCUGAAGACAAGUAUGGUUUUCCCCGUGUGAAUGCUGUUGCUGGUGAGCCAGUCACUUAUCAGGAAGCUGCAAGUAUUCCAGAGUGGCAUCUUGCUAUGAUUGAGGAGCUUGCUGCCCUUGAUCAUACAGGAACUUGGGAUCUUGUUGCAUUACCGUCACAUGCUGUGCCUAUCACAUCUAAGUGGAAAUUCAAAAUUAAGACCAAGUCUGAUCGUUCCAUCGAGAGAUAUAAAGCUCAUCUUGUUGCAAGAGGUUUUUGGCAGACUCAGGGACGAGAUUAUGAUGAGACAUUUGCUCCUGUUGCUCAUAUGACUAAUGUUCAGACUUUGACUGCAGUGGCUGCGACUUCUUCAUGGACUCUCUCUCAAAUGGAUGUUAAGAAUGCUUUUCUUCAUGGUGAUUUGCAUGAGGAAGUUUAUAUGCAAUCACCCCCAGGUGUUGAAGCUCCUUCAGGAUAUGUCUAUCAUCUUUGACGUGCUUUAUAUGGUCUUAAACAGGCUCCUCAUGCCUAGUUUGAGCGUUUUGUCUCUGUGAUAUAGGCUGUUGGUUUUGCACCUAGUGAUCAUGAUCCUGCCUUAUUUAUUCAUCUCUCUCCACGUGGUCGUACUUUGCUUCUUCUAUACGUGGAUGAUAUGUUGGUUACGGGUGAUGAUAUGGAACACAUUUCUAUUUUGAAGAAGCAACAUGGUGAGCAAUUUCAGAUGUCAGCUUUGGAUCCUCUGAGUUACUUCUUAGGGAUUGAUGUUUGGCACUCUCCAAAGGGAUACUUUGUCUCUCAGUCUAAAUAUAUAGAGGAUCUUAUUGGUCGUUCAGGCAUCAGUGAUAAUCGGACAGCUGCCACGCCUAUGGAUCUACACGUGGAGCUCCAUCCCACUAGUGGUACACCUCUUGAGGAUCCCUCUCAAUAUCGGCGUAUUGUGGGCAAUCUUGUUUAUCUUAUUGUCACCAGACCCGAUAUUGCUCAUGUUGUCCAUAUAUUGAGUUAGUUUUCCGCUUCAGCUUCGUGCUUACUCGGACUCCACUUGGGUGAGUGACCCAACGGAUCGUUGUUCCAUCACAGGAUACUGCAUUCUUCUUGGCUCAUCUCCUUUUGCAUGGAAGUAUAAGAAGCAAGCAGUUGUAUCUUGGUCUAGUAUAGAGGCAGAACUUCGAGCAUUGACUACUACUAUUUUAGAGACUAUAUGGCUUCGUUGGUUGUUGGCUGAGUUUGGUAUUCCAUGUGAUGCCCCCACACCUCUUCUCUGUGAUUAUACAGGAGCCAUGCAAAUUGCCAAUGAUCCUGUGAAGCAUGAACUUAAAAAGUAUAUUGGAGUUGAUGCCUUCUUUACUCGGUCUCAUUGUCAUCAGAAAACUAUUGCUCUACAGUAUGUGCCCUUUGAGCUGCAGUUAGCAGAUUUCUUUACUAAAGCACAAACUCGAGAGCAGCAUCGGCUUCACCUACUCAAACUCAAUGAUUCAGAUCCUCAACUUCCACCUUGAGUUUGAAGGGAGGGGGGUUAAGGCUCUCUGUGUUCCUAUGAGUCUCUCUAUAUUCCAUGAGACUCUUUAUAUUCCUAUAUGGCUUUCUAUAUAUAUGGCCUUCUCCACAUAUUGUGAUUAUUCUCUUAAAUCUCCAAGGUUAGUAACACAUUGAACAUCAGGAUAUUUUGAAUGUUGGCAUCUAGUUUAUUUCUAUCUUUCAAUUUCCUCAUCAAGUUGAAAUCACCUACUAUGAGCCAAUCAAUAUGAUUAGGCAUUGAGAUAUUAUUAAACCAAUAUAAAUUGGAUCCUUCCUUAAUCAGAGCAAGGUGCAAAAAUAUUUGUCAGGACCCAGAUUUUCCUAGAAAAGAGGGAAGUAAAUUUCACUAACUGUGCAUAGGCAUUCUCAAAAAGAAGGGUGCCAUCCAGCUUUGUACCAUUCCAUAAGAUAAUUGAGCCACUAGAUGCUUCCAUAGAAGGGGGAAAGAUAAAUUGUUUUGAUCAAAGAAAGGUAUUUUUAUUUCUUGCAAGCAAAUAAUAUCACAAAAGGCUUCUGAAAUUCUAUCCUGUAAAGAAUUCAACUUUUUCCAUCAUUUGUUCCCCUGACAUUCCAAGAAAGAACUUUCCAGCCAUGAGAUAAAGUGGGAGAAAAUGCAUCACAUACAUAUAUAAUAUAUGAUGUUAAAAUGCAAAACAUUGAUAAGAUAAAGAUCCCAUGAAAGAGAAGAAGCAUUGAUAAGACAAGUGACAACUAUAUAACAUAAAGGAGAACAAAAGAAAUUUCCUUUGGAGUUUUAAAGGACUGGGAGCUACUAAAGCUGAUUAAGACAAGCAUCACAAAGCUCAAAAUAUAAAAGAACAAGUGGUGGAUAGGUAGGAUCCACAAGAUAAGAGGUUCAGUUCCUAGCAUCAUCAGCAUUUGCGCUCUUGAAUUUCUUGGGCGUAGAAGGCUUCUUCUCCUUUGGCUGAGUAGAACAGGCAUUAUCUUGCUUUUUCACAACUUUUCUUUUUCUUUGGAGCUUGUCAUGAUUGUGUUGUCAUUAACCUCUUCUGAGCUCAAGUUGUCAAAGGUGAUGCCUAUGUUCUUGACAAUAGUGGGCGAGAGAGUAGGGGUCUCAUCUCUAUAGGCAAAGCAAUUUUUCUCAUUGCAGCUACUUUUCUUGAAGUAUUUGUUCUGCUAGUUGAUUCUAAGGCUUCUUCUAUGUGACUCUAUUUUCAUCGGAUGGAAGUCCAUCAGGGGUUUCUUCUUUCUCACCCUUGGUUCUGCUGAGGAAGUGGUUGAGGUGGAAUGAGUUGGGGUGGCAGGUGUAUCCUCUCCCUGGUCCUGUAUUUUUUCCUGAAAGUUCUCAAUGCAUGACAUGAUAUAAUUAGGACAUUUAGAGGGCAGAGAGAAAGAGAGGGAGGAAGAAUUAUUAGGAACUGAAUUAUUUAGGAAAAGCCAAGCUUUGGAUGAGAGAAAAAUCUUAGCCCAAUCAAAAUGAGUUGGAGAUAACAGGAGAUGACUAAAGAAAUUUGACCAUGCAUAGGGGAUUUGGACUUUGGAGGAGCUGGGAGCCAGGAAGUCAAAAAAUUUGGCCCUCAAGCAAAAGUUAUCAGGACACGGCUUCUUCAAGGAAAGUGCUAGAAAACUAGAAUCGAUAGAAGAAGAAGUGUGAAGGUUCUGACUAACCCUAGUUGUAAGUUCUGCUCAACAAUUGGAAUUUCCACAUCAUCAUUGCAGAACAUCAUCCAUUGGAAUAUCAUCUACUAAGAAGUUGACUGGCUCAAGUAUGGAGUAGGUGGUUGUCAGGUAGGGAGUCACAGAACCAGUUCUGGAUCAUCAUCUGAAAGAUUAUGGCUGCCUUGCAUGUUGACAGAGCUAGAUGUAGCUGGGUGGGAGAAGGAGAUUGAGUGACUCUGGUGCUACCGGAGCUGUUCAAGCUAAUGAAGUUUGGCUGUUGGUAUGUUAAGAGCUUGGUUGUACUGCAGGAUCUGCGAAGUUGUUGGGAUUUUCAUGCUCUGCAGCUUCCUAUGCAUCAAGAUGGGGCACAUGGAUAAAUCGUCUGGGAUGUGAUGAUGGGCCUCAUCCUAGAGCUCAGGUUCCAAAUUAAGGUUAAGUUCCUCAUUUUUAUGGGCUUGUUGAAUGUGGGAUAUUGUGGAACAUAGGGGGCCAUUGUUCCAAGUAGGCCAAAAUUUUUCCAAUAGUUGAGGUUGUAAAGGAGGUUGCUGUUGUUGCUGGAGGUUUGGUGGGCCUUGACCUUCCUUUCCCAAAGCCAAAGAAAUCAAAAGGGGGCUGAUUAUCCACAUCAUCAUCAGACUUAGUUUCUUCGUCACCAGGUUGUCCUCCCAAGAGGUUGUGUUGGAGGAUUUGACAUUGAAUUGUCAGAGAAUUUCCAUGAAAAUCUUAUCCAUCUGUAAAGACAAUGAACUGUGGCACUGACUACAGAUUAAUAACUCUUGUCUUAGCAAGUAUUCUGCAUUUAUUUUUAGGGUCCCUCUCUCAAGAGAGAAUACAUGCAAAGUAUCCAAUAGCAUGCUGAAUGUCAUCCCGUUCCCGAUUGUUAAGAGCGAAGCCCAAAAGCAUUAGCCACAUUUAAACUUCGAAUAGAAAUUCUAUCACCAGAAAAAGAGAUGGGGACUAUUCACAACAAGUCUAUCGCUAUCAAAGACAUACUCAAACUGCACAUAUGCUUGCCAUAGGUGCCAAGGUUCGGUAUCCCAAAUGGUAACCUUGAGAUGCUCCUCAAAGAAGUCCCUAGGACAUCAGCAAUGAUGGGGAACUGAACCUCAAACUCUGGCAUUGGGUUGAAACUCACGAUCUCCAUGUCCUCAUUUCCCGUGGGCCUUUGGGGAACAAUGACACGACCAUUUGCAGUCGGUUUGGCACCCAUUGGGCGUGGAAGCUAGGAGGGAGGAAGGGAUGAGGGUCUGCUCGUUGGUACACCAUUGACAGGGAGCUCAAAUGCACCAGGAUUCGUAGGUGAUUGGAGGUGGACUGUGGAGGCAGUGAAGGAGCAGGGUUUUCUCUAGGAGCUUCCCUGUUGCAAGGGGGAGAGUUUGUUGCGGUGGAAGUCCAAGGGACGUCAAGUAGAGUAUGCGUCGCAAGGGAAAGGCUAGUGGAACAUGUCUAGAGACGGUAGAAGGUUGUGGAGAUUCCACAGGCCCAAAAGCCUAUGAAGGAUGGCAAGAAGCCGGAAGAGUCCAAGGAAUAUCAUUCUAGGUGCAAGGCUUUCUAAAAACAACUAUACUGAGAUUCGAGAAAGAAGCAAAGCAGCUUGGAAAGCAGACUUGAGAAAGAGAUUGUUUGAACCAUGCCUGUAAAUUCUCCCAAAGAUCAUGUUGCAUUUCAAGUGGGAAAAAAGAAUCUAUUGGGGCUUGUUUUUGAAGGAAACCAGCACGAAGGUGUUGUAUUUCUUAACGUUCAUAGAUAAAUCCACAAGCGCACGGAUAUACCAUUGCAACAUUUCACUCGGGGAGUAUCAGGGUAUCGUUAUUUAUAUUUUCUCAAAGGAUGGCAGAGGUGUAAAAGAGUUUACUAGGUACAUAUGCAGGACAAUAUGCUUAAGCUAUAGAACACAUUUCAUACAGGGGUAAGUUAUUAUAAAUGAUAAUAGGGUAAUAUGACACACACACCCCAACCAAUCUUAAGAAUAAAGAAUAACAAAUAAACCACAGGUCAGUUGGAGCAUAGACAUACAAAGUGUAUCCUAGCAGUAUCUAUUCAAGUUAGCAAGGGUUAUACAACACAUGGUUAAGAUUAGUUUUAAGCGUUCAACAUUACGGGUAGACUACCCAGUACUGGUCUGGUAGCAACCUGGAAUAGCACUUUAGACUCCUACACCACAUCAGAACGUGGGGGAUUACAAGGGACGGAUAGGGCUAUUACCACAUGCUGUCUACCCGACAAACGGUGGGAUGUAGUCAUAUUCGAUGGAUCCUACGUGCCCUGGGCACCAUGCCCGUGAACAUGAUCACUAUUCUAGCCCCUCUGGAACCACAACCAUGAUGAUCAACAGGCAUAGAACAAGAGCAAGCUCGAAAGCACACCAAACCGAUGUUGAGACUUAAAGCUAAGCUAAACAUGGCUAUAUAACCUGAUAAAGCAUAAGGCAUGGUAUGACAUACUAUCAAGAUAGCAAGAGAACAAUGGAUAAACUCUGUAUUAUUGAUAGAAUACCAACAAGUUGGAUACAAAGCCAUAUCGGAGGCUGAGGGUUGCUCCAUGACCCGAGGAUGACUUGCACUCGCUAACAGAGAUUGUAGCCUAGCUCCACUAACCUAAGGAUUACAAGUCAUAACUAGAGAGAGGGAGAGAUGCUUCAAGUGUGAUGUGUGUGAGUGAAGCGUCCCCCCAUCAGGGAAGACUUAAAAGUGUCACUUUAUCAGUCCCAGGAGGCUGAUAACACUUUUAUUACAUCAGAUGGUACAUCACCGUAC
Molecule: long non-coding RNA, 8491 nt
Organism: Panicum hallii
Lineage: Eukaryota; Viridiplantae; Streptophyta; Magnoliopsida; Poales; Poaceae
Exons: 3
Source: RefSeq, a predicted model, not a curated record